This 428-nucleotide ribosomal RNA is filed under the name uncultured bacterium. Its description in RNAcentral is "bacterial SSU rRNA". It matches the Rfam family "Bacterial small subunit ribosomal RNA", at positions 355 to 775 of the family's 1533-position model. The record is from RNAcentral.
UGGGGAAUCUUGCGCAAUGCGCGAAAGCGUGACGCAGCAACGCCGCGUGAGGGAAGACGGCCUUCGGGUUGUAAACCUCUUUCAGAUGGGACGAAGCCUCGUCAGUUAAUAGCUGGCUGAGGUGACGGUACCGUCACAAGAAGCCCCGGCUAACUACGUGCCAGCAGCCGCGGUAAUACGUAGGGGGCAAGCGUUGUCCGGAAUCAUUGGGCGUAAAGAGCGUGUAGGCGGUUCAGUAAGUCUGCUGUAAAAGUCCAGGGCUCAACCCUGGAAAGUCGGUGGAUACUGCUGAACUAGAGUCCGGAAGAGGCGAGUGGAAUUCCUGGUGUAGCGGUGAAAUGCGCAGAUAUCAGGAGGAACACCAAUAGCGAAGGCAGCUCGCUGGGACGGUACUGACGCUGAGACGCGAAAGCGUGGGGAGCAAACAG